CUCUUUCUUUCUCGUUCUCUCUCUGUCACUCACUUCCCAUCUAUCUCAUAUUAUGACAAAAUAUGCAAAUACUGACUCAUGAGCUGGAAUACCCGACACAAUAAACUAGCCUGGAGAGCGAUGAUCGUCACCGGAUGACCAAACUAUUCCACAUAAACUGCUAUCAUUGUGGAAGUUCCUUCAUGUUUGAUGACACAUCAUAGUCCCAUUGUGAACAGUGACAACAUCCAAACACAUACAGUACGUGCAUUUAUACAAACGUGCAAUUGCUUGACAAGGAUAUGCGUUUUACAGGCUGAGUGGUGAAAGGUUCAACCGAAACGCUAGAACAAUGAGACGGAGGGACAGUGACACUGAGGUGGAACUGUGGGCCAACGCAAUACUCCCGUGUCGUUUCUGUCUAAUUACUUGCUUCCUCUUCAGCCAAGGCAAAUAAAGGGCUUUCCGUAUUGCCCAAGAUCUCCGCACUCCCUGACAACACACCCACAAACACAGCAGCAUCUCUAAGGAUGUACUCAUUGUAUGUUGUGAGUAAUAGUAGUCAAGUGGGAAGUUGAACACAAUGUAAAGAUGCAUGUACGCUUGUGCGGCACGAACCGAGCAAGUCUCCUGGGUGGUUGGUUGGCCUCUCCCAGAUUCCCAGGCCAAGGGAAUCCCAAUCCAGCUAAUCUCUUUGAAACUAACCAGGGAACGCUGUAUGUCAACACUUCACUCUCUGCCGCACACAAGAUGAGAUCCUUGAAUAAUGGCCCAGUUUUCAGCACUCCGUAAACAGGAGGGCUAAAUUUACUGAUUACACUUCCAGCGUGAGUUGAGAGGAAGGACUAGCUGCAGCCAACCAGAAAACCAGAGGAACUCUGAAUCUUCUAAAUGGGUGAGCAUAUGAGUAAGUGAGGAGAGAGUUGUUUUCAGCACACAGGAACACAUUUAGGGAAGUGUAAACAUUAGAGGACCAAAAACAGAAAAGACCCAUUAGAGGAGAGUGUAAAAGAGUAUGCUAGGGUUAAGGGACUUACAAUAAAUGAACCAAUAUGUAGCUCA
This is a long non-coding RNA of Cyprinus carpio (common carp), 1041 nucleotides long. The record is from Ensembl. Lineage: Eukaryota; Metazoa; Chordata; Actinopteri; Cypriniformes; Cyprinidae.